This 843-nucleotide long non-coding RNA is filed under the name Coturnix japonica (Japanese quail). RNAcentral describes it as "lncRNA (ENSCJPG00005011504.1)". The record is from RNAcentral. Lineage: Eukaryota; Metazoa; Chordata; Aves; Galliformes; Phasianidae.
GUGGCUUAGCAGAGCUGACACAUGAAAGGACUGCAGUGGUAUGUGAACCAGGUUCAGGCUUGAAACCGUUUCUGUAGUUCAGUCCCAGAGAGCUGGAAUGAACAUUAACUCAGAAUUCAAUUACUCCCUCAUAAGCUCCAGUAGAGAUCCACUGGGAGACACUAUUACUAAACAAGAACACAAUGCUGCCCUUCUGGGGACAUCAUAGUAGGACACGCUUGUCCUCCUAAGCAUGCAUGUGUGGAUGGAAAACGUAAAAGACCUCCAGAUCUCAGCAGUGUGUUGUGUAAGCUUAUUGAAAGCUCUUCCCAUCCUUUCUAGAAACUUGGGAGCAAGUCCUGGUCCCAUAUGAACUGGUGGGAUCAGUUUCCUAAGCAUAUAGAAGCAUGCCCUGGGGAAUGUUCAUGCUGGAAAGGAAAAGGGUAGAGUAGGAUAAACAUAGAGGUCUUUAUUUUAUAGAAGGCAGUUUUUAGCUUCUAUGGGCAAGAGAUUUUCUAUUUACCUGUCCUUUGAUGGAGCAGAAACAAAAAUGAAGAAAAACAAUCUGCAGAUUGCUAAGUCUUUUUUUGGUAUGUGUCUUUCAGUGUAUCAGUUGGGGGAAGAACACAGACUAUCUUUACAGCACUGUAGAAGAAUAAUCUGCUUUUGGCCACAACUUGGAGUGUCUGAAGUUGCAUUAUGCAGAGGUAACAAGGGCAUAUUGAAACGGCAACUCAACAGCUACUCUGAAAGGUUAAAAAUGGCCACUUUGGAGUUGCAAAGUCAACGAGAAUUUCAGGUCAGCUUCCAGUGCUGUUUAAUCUGUGAGAUUUUCUGCUGAAGAACAUUAUAUUCUGUUUUGUU